RNAcentral lists this small RNA (109 nucleotides) under Marmota monax (woodchuck). The record is from RNAcentral. Lineage: Eukaryota; Metazoa; Chordata; Mammalia; Rodentia; Sciuridae.
GCUGGGCAUGGUGGCACAGGCCUGUAAUCCCAGCAGCUCAGGAGGCUGAAGCAGGAGGAUCAAAGGAGUUCAAAGCCAGCCUGAGCAACUCAGCAAGACCUUGCCUCUG